AAAAUGUAAUUAUAAUAAUAAAUAACACAGCCCCGUUUCUCCCUUUCUCUUUCCCUUUCUCUUUUAGCUUUUCCUCGCCCAGGCUGCUCCUCCUGCUGCGAGAUUCUUUUCAGUGGGCUACAAAUAAAAUAAGAAAAACCAAUGAAUCUAAAAUCAAGCUGCUAUCCCUUGGACCUGCUUAUUGCUAUCAUAGCUCUUGCUUGCAUCGAUGGUGCUCUUGCCUCUAUUGCAUUCUCUCAGCUUAUCAGGAUUUUUCUGCGAAAUCAACAAUCUGGAUGGACACGACAAAAAGUACUCCAUCUGAUGGUCGGAUCUUGCAACUUGGGUUACUUCAUCUACUUUAUAUCCACCAUCAUGGCUACUUGUAAUAGGUGGCUUUGCUGGUCUCAUGCAUGUGGUUUUAUCCUAAUGGCUUUUCCCAAUAUUCUGUUUUUUGCAGUGUUUCUACUUCUUCUGUCUUUCUGGGUCGACCUUUGCCAUCAGGCAAAUGAAGAAGAAGAUGAUGAUGAAGAUGAAGAAAAUAGCUCUCAACAGCCUUUGUUGGAAAGUUCAAAGAAUAAACCUGGUUCAAUGAACACAGAUAGUUAUCGGAGAUGCUGCUCAUUCCGUGGCAUUCAAGUUGGCAGUCAUCAGAAAUUUGUUAUCGCAGUUGUGGUGUUGAUCUUUUUCUUAAUGCUGUCAUUUGCUGUAGUAAUCUGGAUUGGAGCGGGAAAUAAUCCAAUUGAUUCUUCAGUAGUUGCUCGGGUAUAUGUAGAUCUUUUUGCUACUGCAAUCCUUGUACUGGGAGGGGCUUUGGGUUGCUAUGGUCUUAUCCUAUUUCUUAAAUUGAGGAAAGUAAGGUCUGAGACAGCUUCAUCUGAGAUGCGGAAGGUUGCUGGCCUAGCAGUUGUCUCUGUUGUAUGUUUUAUGUCAAGUGCUGCGGUAGCUCUUCUUACAGAUAUACCUCUUCUAUAUCAUUGGAGUAUGAAGAAUAUAAAUGAAGUGAAAACACUAGUUCUUCUAGUUUUUUACUAUUUUAUAGGUCCAUGUUUUCAAAUGCCGGACUUAGUAGCAUUAACUUGUGGCACCAAGGUUCAGAUUAACCGAAUUCCUCAAGGUGCUAUUAUGCCUUUGCUAUGAAACUGGAAGUAUAAGAGCUGUAUCUAUGUUAUGAAUCCAUCACCAAUGGAAGAAGUUUGACAGUUGGAGAAGGGGGCAGGGCGUGUGAUAUUCAAAUGUAUCACUGUGCUAUUACACUAUCGGGUUUGGGAGGAUAUCAAUUUUAUACAUCCAUGCUAAAUGUUGAGAAUUAAAGAUUUUACUCAACUAGCCAGAUUGGAUUCUUUGAGAGAUACUUCCCUUGAUAACAGAAAGCGACCCAUGAUUUAAUAGGUUUUAAUUGAUAAAAUUAUUUUGUCAUUUACUAUUUCUUUAGUCCUUGGAUUUUAAGGGACGGGUCUUAUUUUUUGCUAUUAUGGAGGCAAAAUUAUUUUUUAUUCAGCUGAAAGACACAUGUUUUUGUUAAUUUGUCAGCGGCAUGUUUAUUAUUGCUAUAAGCUUGUUUUUGUCAGGUUCAUCAGUGCCCUCAGCCUUUGUAUUAUGGGUCAUGAGAGAAUUGCCAGCCUCGGUUACAAAUAUGCAAGCACAAUCAAGAGCAGUAACUUUCAUCAGUUAUGGGGCGGAAGAAACACUGAAUCCUCGGCACUGGGUUGCUGCAACAACUUCAAAGAAUCAGGUGUUAAAAGCGAGUCCAAUAUAAGCAUGAUUACAGCACCAGUGCUAAAGAAGGCGGAAAGUGUAGAAAGCUGUAUUUGUUACGAGUGGAAGUUCAAUUGUGCAAUACGAGGAGCCAGCUGCUUCCUUCACUCCUCACGUUUAAAUUACGUACUCCCGAUUGGGUAUCAAUUUUUGACAUCAAUGAUUGUACAUAACUGUUAUUAUAGUAAUCGAGACUAAUGUUUUCGCAACUUAUAGUUCCACUUUCUUAUCGCCUCCA
Populus euphratica (Euphrates poplar) is the source of this 1975-nucleotide RNA transcript. It is a transcript of the gene named tobamovirus multiplication protein 1-like, with no coding region annotated. The record is from RefSeq and is a predicted model, not a curated record. The transcript is spliced from 13 exons. Lineage: Eukaryota; Viridiplantae; Streptophyta; Magnoliopsida; Malpighiales; Salicaceae.